This 478-nucleotide long non-coding RNA is filed under the name Olea europaea subsp. europaea. Lineage: Eukaryota; Viridiplantae; Streptophyta; Magnoliopsida; Lamiales; Oleaceae. The record is from RNAcentral.
CUGAAAAUAACUAUAAGAAGAUGGAGCUUGAAUUCAAUCAAUUCAGGCAAGUAGUUGGCCGUAACUCUGAUAAAUUUGUCUGCAUAGCCGAAGCUAUAGUACGGGAAUAUGUGCCAGUUGUUAUUAAAAAUUGGCCUUUAGUGGAUGACAAGAAGAAAAUUGAACUUUGAAAUUUUAUACAGGUACAUUUAUUUAAUAUGAUACUUUUUUAAUUAUUCGUUAUACAUUUUUCGUUUAAAGCUUCACUGCCAUUUUCGUUCAAAGCUUGACACCAUUUUUUAUAUUUAUGAUAAAUAUAGCAAAGAUUCAAUGUUAGUGACUGCCAUAAAAAAAUGACAUUUCAAUGUAUGGGAACAUAUUGGAGGACAUUCAAAUCAAGAUUGAGAAAAGAAAUCAAACAUCAAGUACCAUCUACUGUGAAUAGAAAAUGCGCUAUUGCCCUUCUUAGACCGAAGAAUAUAAACUCUGAAGAAGCAUG